Molecule: ribosomal RNA, 441 nt
Filed under: uncultured bacterium
Lineage: Bacteria
Description: partial 16S ribosomal RNA
Rfam family: Bacterial small subunit ribosomal RNA
Source: RNAcentral
CCUACGGGUGGCAGCAGUGGGGAAUAUUGCACAAUGGGGGAAACCCUGAUGCAGCAACGCCGCGUGAGUGAAGAAGUAUUUCGGUAUGUAAAGCUCUAUCAUCAGGGAAGAAGAAAGACGGUACCUGACUAAGAAGCCCCGGCUAACUACGUGCCAGCAGCCGCGGUCAUACGUAGGGGGCAAGCGUUAUCCGGCUUUACUGGGUGUAAGGGGAGGGUUGGCGGCUGGGAAAGUCUGAGGUGAAAGCCCGUGGCGCAACGGCGGAACUGCUUUGGAAAGGGUAUAGCUUGAGUACUGGAGGGGCAGGAGGAAUUGCUAGUGUAGCGGUGAAAUGCGUAGAUAUUAGGAGGAACACCAGUUGCGAAGGCAGCCUGCGAGACAGAAACUGACGUUGAGGCACGAAAGCGUGGGGAGCAAACAGGAUUAGAUACCCGUGUAGUC